This 548-nucleotide ribosomal RNA is filed under the name Indothais lacera. RNAcentral describes it as "partial large subunit ribosomal RNA". It matches the Rfam family "Bacterial large subunit ribosomal RNA", at positions 1797 to 2615 of the family's 2925-position model. The record is from RNAcentral. Lineage: Eukaryota; Metazoa; Mollusca; Gastropoda; Neogastropoda; Muricidae.
CGCCUGUUUAUCAAAAACAUGGCUCCAUGUUAUUGUUUUAUAUGGAGUCUGACCUGCUCGGUGAAUAUAUUUUUAACAGCCGCGGUACUCUGACCGUGCAAAGGUAGCAUAAUCAUUUGCCUUAUAAUUGAAGGCUAGUAUGAAUGGUUUGACGAGAAUUAAGCUGUCUCUUUUCAAUUAAAUAUAAUUUUAUUAACAGGUGAAGAAGCCUGUGUGUUAUUGAAAGACAAGAAGACCCUAUCGAGCUUUAAGAAAUUCAAUAGAUUUAUUAUAUAUUUAUAUAAAUAUAAAACUAUUGAAAACUUUGGUUGGGGCGACUGAGGAACAAAAAAAGCUUCCUUUAUAUCUUUAGAACCUACAAGUAUUGAUCCAAUAAAUUUGAUUAAAGGAAUUAGUUACCGUAGGGAUAACAGCAUAAUCUUCUUUGAGAGUUCUUAUCGAAAAGGAGGUUUGUGACCUCGAUGUUGGACCAGAAUACCCAGAAGAUGCAGCCGUCUUCAAUGGUUGGUCUGUUCGACCAUUAAAAUUCUACGUGAUCUGAGUUCAGA